RNAcentral lists this transfer RNA (69 nucleotides) under Channa diplogramma (Malabar snakehead). RNAcentral's name for it is "Channa diplogramme (Malabar snakehead) tRNA-Glu". It matches the Rfam family "tRNA". From Rfam's summary of the family: Transfer RNA (tRNA) molecules are approximately 80 nucleotides in length. Their secondary structure includes four short double-helical elements and three loops (D, anti-codon, and T loops). The record is from RNAcentral. Lineage: Eukaryota; Metazoa; Chordata; Actinopteri; Anabantiformes; Channidae.
GUUCUUGUAGUUGAAUAACAACGGUGGUUUUUCGAGCCAUUGGUCUUGGUUAGAAUCCUGGCAAGAAUU